Molecule: long non-coding RNA, 529 nt
Filed under: Sorghum bicolor (sorghum)
Lineage: Eukaryota; Viridiplantae; Streptophyta; Magnoliopsida; Poales; Poaceae
Description: long non-coding RNA (SBIC_LNC005290)
Source: RNAcentral
AGGUGGUGGAAUUUCUUCCUUUUGUGGCUCAGAACUUGGGAUAGCUAAAGUAGAUGGAGAAUUUGGCAGAGUGUCUACUUCGGCUUCGUGGGUUUCAUCAUGAAGGGUAUUAUCCAUCUCAGCUUCUAGGAUUCUAUCUAGGAUCGCUCUAGCGUCAUUAGUAGGGAUGCGAAAGAAAGAACCUCUAGACAUUGUAUGUAGCAUUUGUUUAUGAUCUUUCUGAAGACCUCGAAAAAAGUGAAAUAAAAGAACAGGGUCUUCAAGAUUAAGUUUUGGACAAGAUUCUAAAAGAUUAGAAAAGUGUUUCCAGGAUUUUCCCAAAGUUUCAUUAUCUUUUUGUUUAAAAGAUAGGACUUCGAGUCUAAGGUCGCUGAUACGGUCAAGGGAAUAAAAAUCUAGACAAAAGUUGGCUCAUAAGACUCCCCAUUCACCUCGUUGUUGACUUACCUUCUGACUAUACCAUUGUCUAGCUUCUCCCCUUAAAGAAAAAGAAAAAAAUCUUCCAACGUAAAGUUUUAUCAGAAAUGCC